Patella vulgata (common limpet) is the source of this 616-nucleotide long non-coding RNA. RefSeq lists it as uncharacterized. The transcript has 3 exons. Lineage: Eukaryota; Metazoa; Mollusca; Gastropoda; Patellidae. The record is from RefSeq and is a predicted model, not a curated record.
GCCAUGACAACAAUAAACUUGUGCUGGGACAGGAAAAAAUCCUGGUGAUCGUUAAUUUGAAUAUUAGUCAGAAGUGGUAAAUACUGUUAUAUAGAUAUAGUUGUAUAUAAAAAGAUGUCAAAUAAAGAACUAAUGUUAGCCGAUGUUGACGACGAUGAAGAAGAUGAUGACAAAGAAGUCGAUGAUGACACUAAGGACAUACACUUACCCUGUUUAUUGGAUACAGUUGGUCAAGAGAGUGAAGAGUCGUCGAGUCUCUGUACUGAUGGUAUAUUUCUAGAUGAUACCUAUUAUAAUGCUAAUACAAGUCACUCUCUUAGUCCCGAUACUUGGUCUAAUGAACCAGUCACUAACAUGUCGUUAGUUGUAGCAGAUGAAGUGAAUGGUAUACGUCUACAACAGAUUAUCUCCCCCUGUCUUCUGGAUCAUGAAAUACACACCUGUGAUUAUGACCAAGCAUAUGAUAUGUGUAGUAAGAAGGCCUAUUUAAUUAUAUGGUUGUAUUUGGGUAAUCCAGCCAGUCAGGAGGUGCUUGGUUUUACUACAUCUAUCAGAUAUGCUAGUAAGACCAAUCAUAAUACUGUUAUAUUAGGUGUAACACCUACCAGUCUUGAUG